AGCGACAGAAGAAGCACCGGCUAACUCCGUGCCAGCAGCCGCGGUAAUACGGAGGGUGCGAGCGUUAAUCGGAAUUACUGGGCGUAAAGCGCAUGCAGGUGGUUUGUUUAAGUUCAGAUGUGAAAGACCCGGGGCGUCAACCUCGGAAUAGCAUUUGAAACUAGGCAGACUAGAGUACUGUAGAGGGGGGUAGGAAGUUUCUAGGUGUAGCGGUGAAAUGCGUAGAGAUCUGAAGGAAUACCGGUCGGCGAAGGCGGCCCCCUCGGACAGAUACUGACACUCAGAUGCGAAAGCGUGGGGAGCAAACAGGAUUAGAUACCCUGGUAG
Molecule: ribosomal RNA, 327 nt
Filed under: uncultured bacterium
Lineage: Bacteria
Description: bacterial SSU rRNA
Rfam family: Bacterial small subunit ribosomal RNA
Source: RNAcentral